RNAcentral lists this long non-coding RNA (611 nucleotides) under Cotesia glomerata. RNAcentral's name for it is "uncharacterized LOC123273285, transcript variant X2". The record is from RNAcentral. Lineage: Eukaryota; Metazoa; Arthropoda; Insecta; Hymenoptera; Braconidae.
UAGUAGUUUUAUUUUUUAUUUUUAAUUAAAUGAAAUAGAUUGUUAUUACAGGUAAAUUUCACACCAUUCAAAAGUUUUCACAAAGCUUAGUAGUAUCAACACUUGACGCAUGCUUAGGAUUCGCUGUGACUGCACGGAGAAAUUUAUUAAGUCUGACAGAUUUUUUGGGCAAUUUAUUUUUUAUUAUUUAAUAUUAAUAUUUAUGAGAAAGCUGAGAAAUGAUUGCAGGGUUCGCGACAGAAAAUAAAUGUAAAGCUUUAGAUUACAGGAGACAGUUGAAGAAGAAGGAAGAGAUUUAGAAGAAGAGAAGAAGAAGAAGAAAGUAAGCUAAUACAGUAUGAACCUACCGAGACCUUCAAGUUCGGGAUAAUUAGAUAACGAUGUAAGAUCUGGAGCCACUGCGACAGUAUCAGGGAAGAAAUCCACCUAGGAGUUUAAAUUGAAAAAAAAUACCAGCAAAGUUUAGUAAAUUAAUUGUCAAUUAACAAGGCAAUGCGUCAAAUGUACAAUCAGCAAUUGUAAGGUAAUAAUGUUCGCUGGUAGAAUUGCUUACUGUCAAAGCUAACAAAUAGUUCUGGCAUAUCGUCGACGGAAACCAUGCUGCGAUAAUC